UGGGUUCAUUAGCUGCCUUCAGUCUCGCGCAUUGAAAGCUGGAAGGAAUGUGUGGUGAUUAAUAAGCACUCGGGCUCCCAAGGGAGCAGUCCUGUGGGUGAGAGGAGGCAGUGAGGUCCUGUUAAGGUGCAGCAGAUCUGGCUCCCUCUGAAAUUAAUCCAGCCCGCGGGACAAGCACCGUUUCUGCCCGAGUUGUAAAAGGACAACGCCAUUUUAAAAAUCAUCCCCAUCGAAAAGUCCUAAAAUGGCAGGAUGUCCCCUUCACCCUGUCUCUGUGUCGCUUUGACUCCGAUUUGAGACGGGCGCUGUCAGCGCCGGUGGUGGACGGUCACGUGCAAGGUCCGAGGGGAGGUGUCCUGCAGUAUAAAAUAACGCUGGCAUUCUGCAGGCUCCGUGUGAAACCCAGAAGAGCCAUCAUGGAUCCUUGGGGAGUCAGAGGACAGAGUUCCACUGGAUGAGGGAGGCUCCGUUCUUCCAGCAUGGCUCUCCUCUCGCCACCUGUCAGAUGGCUCCCAAGAGCCCUCCUUCUCCUCAUCCUGAUGGCAUGAUCACUUGCCCCAGCCCCCAGCUCCAGAGACACCUCCUGUUUCCUCUCUGACUCAAUCCCUUCAAGUUCUCUUUGUGAAAUCUCCCUAGUCUCGAGCCUGUACCCACCCCUCCCCCUCGCUGAUCACCUAUAGACAUUUGAUGUGGGUCCUUGCCUGCUGCUUCAGGUCUGCAUCUUGUCCUCCAAAGCACACAGUAGGUCUGGGAGUAUGGGGACCCUGUAGAGAGAGGGGCAGGAGGAGAUGCCUGCCGGCUGGCAAAUAAACCCCAGGACAAGUUUCCAGCUCAUUGGCACCUUACCUGCUUUGUCUGUAAGAUGGGAAUAAUAUUCCCUGUCCUCCUUCACAAAGAAUUUUUUGGAGGAUCAAAGUGGACAGUAGAAAACAGGAUUUGGAGGGCUUAAUAAGUGACCAGGAAGUAGGUGGAACUGAGGUGCCCCUUCCGGGCCUUGAUCUCUGAACCCUCAGUGAUGGAUCGAUUACGUGUCAUGACAGUAGUUCCGGUGAUGUUUCCCUAAAGCUAUUUCUCUGAUAAACAUACAAACAGGAAAACUUGGCCAUCGGUCUGUCUGGAACCUAGCAUGAGUAGUUAAAAUAGAAGGGAAGACUCAGGGUGGUGGCAGUUACAGAAGCUGUUUUCAAACAUGUCAGGGGCUGUCUGGUGGUAGAUGCUGGCUUAAUGGAGUUGGAAGGUGGGAGGAGUCUGUAGACACCCAGAAGCGGGCAGAGAUCUCAGGGAGGAAGAAGUUUCUAAGUAGAGCUGUCCCAUGGGUCCUGGGCUGUGGGUGCCAGAGGACCCCUCAGAAAUGCUUGUGAAGGGGUUGCUUAUUCCCCAGACAGAUGUGAAAAUGAGGGCAGCUUCUCUGGAGUACAGGAGCAGCUCAGACCGUGGUUCUCUUUGUGCUACUCAGACCUUAGACUGGAUAACUGUCCCAGAGGCUAAGGCAGGAUGCAGAGGCCCACACUGACUGCUUUGGUGCUGAGCCCUUCUCCGCCACUCUGUUAGUGGAACUGAGUCUAAGAGAAGAUGUACCAUCUGCCCCAGGUGUACGGCAGAGCCAGAGUUCAAACUUGGUCUCUCUGACUCAGAGCAGGUGCUGGUGUGGCUUCUGGCCACCACCAGGAAAGUGAAUGUGAAAGUUGCUCCAUCGUGUCCAACUCUUUGCAACCCCAUAGCCUAUUCAGUCCGUGGAAUUCUCUAGGCCAGAUUACUGGAAUGGGUAGCCUUUCCCUUCUCCAGGGGAUCUUCCUAACCCAGGUCUCCCACAUUGCAGGCGGAUUCUUUACCAGCUGAGCCAUGAGUGGCGUGCUAAUUCUCUCUUCUCCUUCAGUCCUUGGCUCUCCUUCCUCUUGUGAAGCCUACCUCUUACAAGUGCUGCUUCUCAGCUCCCUCUCUUAGCUCCUUGCUGCCCGGGGCUCUGCGCUAUGGCCUCUCUACUUAGCUUGGAUCCUGAGCUGGCUCAUCCCAGGGUGUCUCUCCUGAGAACCCUGGACCCCUUGCUCCCCUGUCAGCCCAUGCCUGUCCUUCAGCCCUGCAGCCCUGUCUUGCGGUGCGGAGCUCUUUGGGGAUGUUGGCACACUCAUGGCCCGUGCCUAUCAGGUGGCUGAUCCUCUGGGUCCCUAGCCCUCCUGCCCUCUGUUCUCAGCUCCCUUCCUUAUUCCCAGAGUGCCCAUUCAAACAGUCGCUGUUCUUUUCAUUGCCCCCAUACCCAGCUCUACCCUCCCUGCCCAGGGCAGAAGGAUGACCCUUCAUGAACACUUUAUCCCCUCCUGGCUCUGCUGCUCUGGCUCAUGUCGUCUGGUUUCCUUCAUGACUGAACGCCUCCCUGUUGCCAGCAGACAUCUUCCAGGUCUGAUCUCAUGGCUCUGCCUAAAGAUUGAGGAAAUAUCUUAUAUAAAAACAGUUGUUCUUGAAAGGGUGACCCCUGGACCAGUACCAUCAUUAUCACCUAGAUCUUCUAUUUGAGCAAGCCCUUCAGAUCUCCUCUUGAAGUAACUGGCCACUUUGACUUUGAACCCAGCAACUCUCCAAUGAAAUGGCUGGCAAAGGCGGAGGCCCAGAAGGUGGGCAGCUUGCUCAGGGUAGGGCAGCGAAAGCCCAGGGGUCCCACCUCCCCGCAUGCCCUGCGUCUGCACAAUUGCCCAGCAAAACCCCAGACAGCUCAGGUUUUUUAAAAGUAGAGUGGAAAUAAGCUCAAGUUUCUGGAUGUAAGGGACACUCUGACCCCUGCCCAAGUUUUCAGGCAUCCUAGGUUUUGAAUAAAACAGAGAAGCUGCCCUCUACUCAAGGACAACCCUUCAAAACCAGCAGAGAGAUCUGGGCGCUCCAGCCAGCUUGCUCUCUGUCAGUCAGGGUCCCUUUAAGAUGCAAGAACUUGGAGGUAGGGAGGUCAAAUGCAGGCCAGUGGAAGUUUCCACACUCCGUGUGUCCCAGCCAGCUUCUCUGUCUAUCUCUGCUGGGAAGGGUGGGCCCUGUUCCCACAGGCCUGAGAUUUAUGACUUCAGUCUGGGAGGGGGCGUUGGUCUUUAUUUCUUGGCGUGAACAAUGGUAAACAGAGUUAUGAAGAAAGUUUGGAACUGGUAUCCUUCAGCCUGUGUCAGGCUAAUUCUCUGGUUCUUUCUCUCCUUGUGAGUUGUGUGCACACACACAUGGUGUGCACAUAUGCCAGCUGUAAAGUGAGAUAGAGCAAUAGUGUAGUUGGCCUCUAGAUCUUGUCAAAUAUGCACCCCAAGCUAAUCACCAGACUUCCAUCGACCACUAAAGGCUGCAACUUUAGUGUCACUUGAAAAUGCCUUGGAAGUACACACACACACACACAUUCUGAAAACCUUUCACCUUGCUCCUUUGCCCUCUCCAGCACCUCUCAUAAGCCUGACCUGUGCAAAGCUGGAGGUAUUCUCAGCCUGCCUAGUCCUGCAGUUAUCUGAUGAUGGAGAUACAAUUUCCUGUCCCUGAGAUUUUUCCUUUAAUACACUGAAAUAUUAUGAUGCAAAAGCUACAAGUAUUGAAGGUUCAUGUGGGGAUUAAACAAGAGUAAGAAGUCAGUACCUGACUGGCUAGAGCCUUAAUUGUUGGGGCAGGGACAGUCACGGGAAGGACCUCUGGCCAAGUCAGGGAGGCAGUGAUGUGGACCUGUGUUGUGUGUGCGAGAAAGAUGACAGCAGAGAGAAGGCUGCCAUCAGAUUUCUAUUUAGACAGGUUUUAUAUAGUCUCAGGUUUUACAAGAUUUGGUCAAGGUUCUGAGCUUACAAGAGCACUAUCCCACUCUUAUCCAUUAUAGGUAGUAGAUCAUAGUGGUGAAGACACAGGCUCUGAAAGCAGACUCUCUGAAUUGCAGUCCUGGCCCUGCCACUUCUACCUGUGUGGCUUAGGCAAAUGUCUUCAUUCUCUAAGCCUCAGUUUCCUUGCCUAUGAAACGGGCAUGAUGAGAAAAUUGUCAUUAUAGAACUGAGACAGCUGAAUGCCUAGCACAGGGCUGGCAAUCUGAAGUUACUAUUAGUUCCUGAUUUUCAACCUGAACUGAUAUUGGAGUUAUUCCACAUUCUCAUUUCCUCACCUGAAAGCAUACAUAAACCACCUAGAGUUCUUCCUUCUGAGACAGAAAUGACCCCUGUCUCCUUUGUUUCCUUAAGGAAGCAGUGUGCAAGCACCACUACUCUGCCCCUGAAGCAAGAGGCACAUCCCCCUGCACUGACCUCCCCACCUGCACCCAGCGUCUGUAGAGUAAGAGGGCAGAGCGGCCGUGACCCGCACGAGAAGGCAGGAGGUCAGCAGACUCGCCUGCAUCUUUCUGUGGGGGGAUGGCUGCUCUCCGUGGAGAAGCAGGUCAGGGUACACUGGUCCAGCCCUGGAGAGGAGCCAGGCUGGUGUGUGGUGUGGAGGAAAGCAUCUUGGACGUGGUUUUUAAAGGCCUGAAGUGGCUCUGUGUCCUACCUCUGACCAACUGCGGAGGCAGGGCCUGGCUGUCUCAGGGCCUCAGGGCCCCCUCAUGUGACAGACGGAGGUCCACCAUCACGCCAGGCCGAUCUCCCUGCAGACUUCAUGCUUGUCCCUUACCACCCUCCUUGCACAUGCUCUAAAUGGGCACAUGAUGUGAGCCCAAGCAUACAAGAUCACAGAGGCACAUGGUACACACACACACACACACACACACACACCCCCCUACACUCCUCUUCAGCGUCUGACUCAUACUCAGGUUAAGUUUCACCUCCUGCCUUCCUGGGCUCCCGCCACACCCACACCCUGACCACUUGCUGGUCUGCAUCUCAGUGACAGCUCUGCAUAAAGUCCCUUAAGUUUCCUUGUCCUGUCUGGGUUGUGUGAAGUCCUGUGCUGUUUUUACAUCUCCAGAUGCAUAGUUAAUUCAAGGUCCUCUCCCCAGAUCUGCCAUAGUGGGCAGAAGUAAAUUUCUGUGGGGCUAAUAACACUUAAACCUCUGGCCCUCCAUCAGCACAGUGUGUUCACACGGUCAUACAUUUUCAUAAAGUUGACUGUAAUCUGUUAAUACCACUGUUUCUUUCCCCUCUGAUUUGCCCGUCAUACGGUACUAUCCUCAUUUUGGAGGCAUCAGAGUGGCCCCUUUGGACACUAGCUAAGGGACAGCUGAAUUGGGGGUGUGUUGGUUUGGGUUUACUGGGACAUAUUUACAUGGUGUUUAGUCGAUUUUCUUGUAAAUCACAUGUUGCUAGCUGUCACCGUCGGGAGAAGGCUUCUAGGAACACCCUGCUGGUCUGUGCAGCAGACUCUGUGUGGGGCCACAAAGGGGCACCUGAGUGAGUGUGCCCUCGGGUGCCGGGUCCUAGAAAUGCACGCGGAAUGGGUCAGUGUGAUUCGUGCAAAGCCCGAAGCUGGUGGAUGGGGGUCCUCCAGUCGUCAGGUCUUGGAGCAGAGGAUUCUCUUCCCAUCACCGCCUCCUCAGAAUGAAAGCUCUCUUUUGUCAGGAUUAUAUUCAAUCAUGCAAAGUAAUACAAUCAUAAAUGCACUACUCAUUUUGUUUCUUUUUGAUGGGAAUUACUGACAUGGAAUUUAUCAGACUCCUCGUGUUUAAAUGCCUUGCUGAUUUGACAGGAAAUACUGACAUUGACGGAGAUAACAUAAAACUCAUUAUGCGCCACUACAAUGAGGACAUCGAUGACAAUCUGGUUACUAAGUUUCAUAAAUUCACAGAAUAUUUUAGAUUUGUUGCUAAAAAAGAGAAGUUGAAAUGCCCUGAAAUCUCGUAGCUCAUGUAUGAAAGACACUUGACAGCGGUUUUCCCAAAGUUGAUAACCAUUCUGGAGAUUCACACGGCAUUACCAGUGACAAAUUGUGAGACGGAAAGAAACCUUUUUAAACUGUGAAUAAUAAAAUGCAAAAUCGGAUCAACUCGUUAGAGGAGAGAUUGAAUUACCUUUGUAUUCCUCUAUAAAAAUGAGAUGGAAAAAUGAUGCUCAUUUAAAGAGACGAUCAAAGAGUUUGUCGCUAAAAAAAAUGUAGCAAGAAACGUAUUACAGAUGAGGGUCGGCUCUUUUAGAUUCUGUGAUGCCUGUAGAAUUUGUCAGCUUUUACAAGUUUUUAAUUUGUUGUGAUGGCCCUUCUCCUUAUAAAUAUAAUUUCACUUUCAAGCAGAAUUUGUAUUUGGAAUUUUGAAUUCUUUUUCCUCAAGCUGUUCCCCAAAUUGUAAACGCUGCUGGCCCCACCUCGCUGGGUCUGUCCUGCGUACCCCUAGGCCCUGGCUAGGAGCUGCCUCUGGCAGCUGUUCCCAGGCCGGUGGCUGCCAGCAGGGGGUCUGGACGUGAGACAGAGUCUGGGUGGCUCUGACCAGGGCACCCACUGUGAGCCAGCGGGGAACCCGAGCCUGGCUGACAUCACACAUCCUUGGAGACCACCUAACUCUAGUUCUAAAAGGGGCAAAAGUGGUGUCAUGCCGUCUGUGAGGGCCCAAACCUUUCCACCGACAGUCUCGUCAGGGCCUGCCUGGGCCCUGCCAGCCCCCCCUGCGUUUCCUUUUAAUAAAAUUUAAUGUUUUCAUUUUCAAAGACCUAGAAAAUCCAAACACUUUUUAAAAGCCCCAAGGAACUAUAAAAAUUAAUAGCACAGGGAUAAUUUCUUUUUCAGUGGCGACUCAAUUAAACCUGCCAAAGUCAGACAGUGUGAUUUAAACGCACCACUUGCAGAGGGACCCGCGCGGAGCAGGCAAACAUGGAAUGAAACAAUAAUAUUUACCAAUUACUCUUCUGGAUGUUUCCCACCCGGCCCCUUCCCUCCGGGGAGAAUUUUUUCCUUCCCUCCCUCCUCUCGAGGGCCCAGAGGUCAGCAUCCCUAAUUGUUUUCUCCUUGAAUGGUCACAUUGCUAUCAACAAGUGACUGAACUUCUUCCCUGCUCAGAGUAAUGGAAAAAUACCACCCGGGCUGGCUGCCCAGGGCAACAGGCCACGUGGACUCCAUCUCGCAAGUGGGACUGAGUUCAGCGCUGAAAAUGAAAGAACGGCUCCCCGCUCAUCUCCAUCAGGCGCUCCAGCCAGACCAGACAUCUCACAUUCCACACUUAGUCCUGCCCCAGGGCACUUGCUCCGACAGUUCCCUUGCCAGGAAUGCCCUCUCCUGUUCAUGAACACUUUACCCCUGAGAACUUCCAUCUUAUGUUUUCUUUGAGGCCCUGAUCAAGUUCUUUUAAGAAAGUUUUCCUGAGAAAAUCCAUAUCUGUAGAUUUUCCCCUUAAUCUCACUGCCUUCAGUUCCUCUGUAUUGAGUCAACUGCACAUUCUCUCUUAAUUGCAUAUGGGCUGCCUGGGCCCAUCCUAGAGUUUUUAACACACAGGCUCUAACAGGCUUAUCCCUGCUUGCAGACUGUAAGCCCCUCCAAGGCAGGAACUCGUCUGCAUGCACCCUUUGUGUUACGCAUUGUAUUUAGUUUGGUGUUCUUUGUGGGACAGAGGCUUUAUAAUCACAUUUGGACUGGAAUAGUCUCAGGGUUUUCUCUACAACAGGAUAAUGAACUGUGUGCCUCUGGAAAUAGGAUUUCAAUGCAGCUUUGUUUGAAUAGAAAAAAUAAAAAAUGUAAUAAUAAAUAACAAAAAAAUCUAAGCAAAAUAUUCAUUAAUGGAGUAUGGGUAAGAAUAUGGAAUAUGAUGACAUGCUUCAGAGCAGUUAAUGAAAAUGGAGUUGAAUGAUCAAUAUGUAUAGAUUCGCAGAACAGAAAUGUUGAGUGAAACAGGCAAACUGUAAGACAAUAUGUUGGUUAAGAUAUAACUUAUAUAGAUUCAAUGCCCCAUAAGCCAAUAUUACAUAGCAUUUUAUGGAUCCAUGUGAAUAUAUCCAUGUGUGAACAUAGCAAUGAGAAAGAAAUACAUACAAAUCUUGCCAUUGCUUGCCUCUGAAGAGGGAGAGGAGAGAACGGGGAAUGA
Molecule: long non-coding RNA, 7930 nt
Organism: Bubalus bubalis (water buffalo)
Lineage: Eukaryota; Metazoa; Chordata; Mammalia; Artiodactyla; Bovidae
Exons: 4
Source: RefSeq, a predicted model, not a curated record